GUGAAGAACGCAGCGAAACGCGAUAUGUAAUGUGAAUUGCAGAAUUCAGUGAAUCAUCGAAUCUUUGAACGCACAUGGCGCCUUCCAGUAUCCUGGGAGGCAUGCCUGUCCGAGCGUCGUUUCAACCCUCGAGCCCCCGUGGCCCGGCGUUGGGGAUCUGCCCAGGCAGUCCCCGAAAACCAGUGGCGGACCCGUUACAGGCCCUUCCCUUGCGUAGUAGCAUUCGCCUCGCAUCGGGAGCCGGCGGGCUUCCAGCCUCUAAACCCCCAUCAAGUCCGCCCCGGCGGCACCAAGGUUGACCUCGGAUCAGGUAGGAAUACCCGCUGAACUUAAGCAUAUCAAUAAGCGGAGGA
RNAcentral lists this unclassified non-coding RNA (353 nucleotides) under soil metagenome. RNAcentral's name for it is "partial contains 5.8S ribosomal RNA, internal transcribed spacer 2, and large subunit ribosomal RNA". The stretch from base 2 to 119 matches the Rfam family "5.8S ribosomal RNA", at positions 37 to 154 of the family's 154-position model. The record is from RNAcentral.